GACGAACGCUGGCGGCGUGCUUAACACAUGCAAGUCGAACGAAGAGCGAUGGAAGCUUGCUUCUAUCAAUCUUAGUGGCGAACGGGUGAGUAACGCGUAAUCAACCUGCCCUUCAGAGGGGGACAACAGUUGGAAACGACUGCUAAUACCGCAUACGAUCUAAUCUCGGCAUCGAGGAUAGAUGAAAGGUGGCCUCUACAUGUAAGCUAGCACUGAAGGAGGGGAUUGCGUCUGAUUAGCUAGAUGGAGGGGUAACGGCCCACCAAGGCGAUGAUCAGUAGCCGGUCUGAGAGGAUGGACGGCCACAUUGGGACGGAGACACGGCCCAGACUCCUACGGGAGGCAGCAGUGGGGAAUCUUCCGCCAUGGACGAAAGUCUGACGGAGCAACGCCGCGUGAGGGAUGACGGCCUUCGGGUUGUAAAGCUCUGUUAAUCGGGACGAAAGGCCUUCUUGCGAAUAGUGAGAAGGAUUGACGGUACCGGAAUAGAAAGCCACGGCUAACUACGUG
This 510-nucleotide ribosomal RNA is filed under the name uncultured bacterium. Its description in RNAcentral is "partial 16S ribosomal RNA". It matches the Rfam family "Bacterial small subunit ribosomal RNA", at positions 28 to 507 of the family's 1533-position model. The record is from RNAcentral.